RNAcentral lists this ribosomal RNA (378 nucleotides) under uncultured fungus. RNAcentral describes it as "bacterial SSU rRNA". It matches the Rfam family "Eukaryotic small subunit ribosomal RNA", at positions 587 to 972 of the family's 1831-position model. The record is from RNAcentral. Lineage: Eukaryota; Fungi.
AGCUCCAAUAGCGUAUAUUAAAGUUGUUGCGUUUAAAAAGCUCGUAGUUGGAACUUUUGAGCUUGCAGUCGGUCCACCUAACAGUGCGCACUGGCUGUGGGCUCAACACUUUUUGGGCGCCAGCGUGUUCUUUACUGAGCGCGUUGGCAGUCCCAAGACUUUUACUUUGAAAAAAUUAGAGUGUUCAAAGCAGGCUUUCGCUUGAAUACAUUAGCAUGGAAUAAUAGAAUAGGACCAUGGUUCUAUUUUGUUGGUUAAAGAACCAAGGUAAUGAUUAAUAGGGACAGUUGGGGGUAUUAGUAUUUCGGGGCUAGAGGUGAAAUUCUUGGAUUCCCGAAAGACUAACUACUGCGAAAGCAUCUACCAAGGAUGUUUUCA